UACGGGGGGGGCAAGCGUUGUUCGGAAUUACUGGGCGUAAAGGGCUCGUAGGCGGCCAACUAAGUCGGACGUGAAAUCCCCAGGCUCAACCUGGGAACUGCGUCUGAUACUGGAUGGCUUGAAUCCGGGAGAGGGAUGCAGAAUUCCAGGUGUAGCGGUGAAAUGCUUAGAGAUGACAUAGAACACCAAUUGCGAAGGCAGCUGGCUACACAUAUAUUGACACUGAGGCACGAAAGCGUGGGGAUCAAACAGG
RNAcentral lists this ribosomal RNA (253 nucleotides) under uncultured bacterium. RNAcentral describes it as "partial 16S ribosomal RNA". It matches the Rfam family "Bacterial small subunit ribosomal RNA", at positions 524 to 776 of the family's 1533-position model. The record is from RNAcentral.